RNAcentral lists this transfer RNA (85 nucleotides) under Pseudomonadales bacterium. RNAcentral describes it as "tRNA-Leu". It matches the Rfam family "tRNA". From Rfam's summary of the family: Transfer RNA (tRNA) molecules are approximately 80 nucleotides in length. Their secondary structure includes four short double-helical elements and three loops (D, anti-codon, and T loops). Lineage: Bacteria; Pseudomonadati; Pseudomonadota; Gammaproteobacteria; Pseudomonadales. The record is from RNAcentral.
GCGAAAGUGGCGGAACUGGUAGACGCGCCAGAUUUAGGAUCUGGUAUCGCAAGAUGUGAGAGUUCGAGUCUCUCCUUUCGCACCA